UCCUACGGGAAGCAGCAGUGAGGAAUAUUGGUCAAUGGGCUUACGCCUGAACCAGCCAAGUCGCGUGAGGGUAGACUGCCCUAUGGGUUGUAAACCUCUUUUGUCAGGGGGCAAUUGGCGCUACGUGUAGCGUUAUCGAGAGUACCUGAAGAAAAAGCAUCGGCUAACUCCGUGCCAGCAGCCGCGGUAAUACGGAGGAUGCGAGCGUUAUCCGGAUUUAUUGGGUUUAAAGGGUGCGUAGGCGGAGUGUCAAGUCAGCGGUAAAAUUUCGGGGCUCAACCCCGUCGUGCCGUUGAAACUGACAC
Molecule: ribosomal RNA, 305 nt
Filed under: uncultured bacterium
Lineage: Bacteria
Description: bacterial SSU rRNA
Rfam family: Bacterial small subunit ribosomal RNA
Source: RNAcentral